GACGAACCGUGCGAACGUUGUUCGGAAUCACUGGGCUUAAAGGGCGCGUAGGCUGGCUGCCAAGUCAGGGGUGAAAUCCUCCAGCUUAACUGGAGAACGGCCUCUGAUACUGGCGGCCUCGAGGGGGGUAGGGGCGUGUGGAACUCUAGGUGGAGCGGUGAAAUGCGUUGAUAUCUAGAGGAACUCCGGUGGCGAAGGCGACACGCUGGACCCUUUCUGACGCUGAGGCGCGAAAGCCAGGGGAGCGAACGGG
This 253-nucleotide ribosomal RNA is filed under the name uncultured bacterium. Its description in RNAcentral is "partial 16S ribosomal RNA". It matches the Rfam family "Bacterial small subunit ribosomal RNA", at positions 524 to 776 of the family's 1533-position model. The record is from RNAcentral.